This 208-nucleotide ribosomal RNA is filed under the name Morganella morganii. Its description in RNAcentral is "partial 16S ribosomal RNA". It matches the Rfam family "Bacterial small subunit ribosomal RNA", at positions 1 to 213 of the family's 1533-position model. The record is from RNAcentral. Lineage: Bacteria; Pseudomonadati; Pseudomonadota; Gammaproteobacteria; Enterobacterales; Morganellaceae.
UAAUUGAAGAGUUUGAUCAUGGCUCAGAUUGAACGCUGGCGGCAGGCCUAACACAUGCAAGUCGGGCGGUAACAGGGAGAAGCUUGCUUCUCUGCUGACGAGCGGCGGACGGGUGAGUAAUGUAUGGGGAUCUGCCUGAUGGAGGGGGAUAACUACUGGAAACGGUAGCUAAUACCGCAUAAUGUCUUCGGACCAAAGCGGGGGACCU